AUACGUAGGGGGCGAGCGUUGUCCGGAAUGAUUGGGCGUAAAGGGCGCGUAGGCGGCCUGUUAAGUCUGGAGUGAAAGUCCUGUUUUCAAGAUGGGAAUUGCUUUGGAUACUGAUGGGCUUGAGUGCAGGAGAGGUUAUCGGAAUUCCCGGUGUAGCGGUGAAAUGCGUAGAGAUCGGGAGGAACACCGGUGGCGAAGGCGGCUAUCUGGACAGUAACUGACGCUGAGGCGCGAAAGCGUGGGGAGCAAACAGGAUUAGAUACCCUGGUAGUCCACGCUGUAAACGAUGAAUACUAGGUGUGGGGGGACUGACCCCCUCCGUGCCGCAGUUAACACAAUAAGUAUUCCACCCGGGGAGUACGACCGCAAGGUUGAAACUCAAAUGAAUUGACGGGG
Molecule: ribosomal RNA, 396 nt
Filed under: uncultured bacterium
Lineage: Bacteria
Description: partial 16S ribosomal RNA
Rfam family: Bacterial small subunit ribosomal RNA
Source: RNAcentral